AAGGAAGAAACAAAGAACUGCUAAUUCUUUAUUCCAUAUCUAAUCAUAUGGCUCCCUUG
Molecule: transfer RNA, 59 nt
Filed under: Petrosaltator rozeti (North African sengi)
Lineage: Eukaryota; Metazoa; Chordata; Mammalia; Macroscelidea; Macroscelididae
Description: tRNA-Ser
Source: RNAcentral